RNAcentral lists this ribosomal RNA (432 nucleotides) under uncultured bacterium. RNAcentral describes it as "partial 16S ribosomal RNA". It matches the Rfam family "Bacterial small subunit ribosomal RNA", at positions 29 to 506 of the family's 1533-position model. The record is from RNAcentral.
AACGAACGCUGGCGGCAUGCCUAACACAUGCAAGUCGAACGAGACCUUCGGGUCUAGUGGCGCACGGGUGCGUAACGCGUGGGAACCUGCCCUUAGGUUCGGAAUAACUCCCCGAAAGGGGUGCUAAUACCGGAUAAUGUCUUCGGACCAAAGAUUUAUCGCCUUUGGAUGGGCCCGCGUUGGAUUAGCUAGUUGGUAGGGUAAAAGCCUACCAAGGCGACGAUCCAUAGCUGGUCUGAGAGGAUGAUCAGCCACACUGGGACUGAGACACGGCCCAGACUCCUACGGGAGGCAGCAGUGGGGAAUAUUGGACAAUGGGCGAAAGCCUGAUCCAGCAAUGCCGCGUGAGUGAUGAAGGCCUUAGGGUUGUAAAGCUCUUUUACCCGGGAUGAUAAUGACAGUACCGGGAGAAUAAGCCCCGGCUAACUCCGU